GGGUUGAUGGUACUGGAGAAGGACUG
This 26-nucleotide non-coding RNA is filed under the name Cricetulus griseus (Chinese hamster). Lineage: Eukaryota; Metazoa; Chordata; Mammalia; Rodentia; Cricetidae. The record is from RNAcentral.